RNAcentral lists this ribosomal RNA (561 nucleotides) under uncultured bacterium. Its description in RNAcentral is "bacterial SSU rRNA". It matches the Rfam family "Bacterial small subunit ribosomal RNA", at positions 338 to 916 of the family's 1533-position model. The record is from RNAcentral.
CCUACGGGAGGCAGCAGUGGGGAAUAUUGGACAAUGGGCGAAAGCCUGAUCCAGCAAUGCCGCGUGAGUGAUGAAGGCCUUAGGGUUGUAAAGCUCUUUUACCAGGGAUGAUAAUGACAGUACCUGGAGAAUAAGCUCCGGCUAACUCCGUGCCAGCAGCCGCGGUAAUACGGAGGGAGCUAGCGUUGUUCGGAAUUACUGGGCGUAAAGAGUACGUAGGCGGUGAUUCAAGUCAGAGGUGAAAGCCUGGAGCUCAACUCCAGAACUGCCUUUGAAACUAGAUCGCUAGAAUCAUGGAGAGGUUAGUGGAAUUCCGAGUGUAGAGGUGAAAUUCGUAGAUAUUCGGAAGAACACCAGUGGCGAAGGCGACUAACUGGACAUGUAUUGACGCUGAGGUACGAAAGCGUGGGGAGCAAACAGGAUUAGAUACCCUGGUAGUCCACGCCGUAAACGAUGAUAACUAGCUGUUCGGGGUCUACGAUCCUGAGUGGCGCAGCUAACGCAUUAAGUUAUCCGCCUGGGGAGUACGGUCGCAAGAUUAAACCUUAAAUGAAUUGACGG